This 209-nucleotide long non-coding RNA is filed under the name Capsicum annuum. RNAcentral describes it as "long non-coding RNA (CANN_LNC014282)". The record is from RNAcentral. Lineage: Eukaryota; Viridiplantae; Streptophyta; Magnoliopsida; Solanales; Solanaceae.
UCGCAAAGCAAUGUUCUUAUUAGCCUCCUAAUUAUGUAAGUAAUCAAUUAAACCACUAUGGCAUCACAUACUAGAUGUUGACUUAACCAAUAGUAAUACAAUACUAGAUAUAUUAUCAUUGAGCAUAUCAUAACCUUAAGGACUAGUUUCCAUAUUUUAGCUAAGUAUGGUCCACCAACUACUUCACUAGGUUUCUAGCCCACAAGUCA